Molecule: long non-coding RNA, 218 nt
Filed under: Elaeis guineensis (African oil palm)
Lineage: Eukaryota; Viridiplantae; Streptophyta; Magnoliopsida; Arecales; Arecaceae
Description: long non-coding RNA (EGUI_LNC031208)
Source: RNAcentral
AUCCAUAUUUAUUGUCAACGAAUAUGGAUAUAAGUUAGAUACUUAAAGUACCGAUAUAAAUUAGAUAAUUAAACUUUAUGCCCACAAAACUAAAGAUAUUCCUACAUGGAUAAUAAAUCUAAUUAAUAGUAUGUUAAUAUGAUUAUAUAUUUUCUUUAAAAAUCAUGAAUACUAUAUAAAUUAAAUAAGAUUAUAAAUAGAAUCACAUAUUCAGAAAU